AGGGGUGUAGUUUAAUUGGCAAGACAUUGGGCCUUGGACCCAAUACUGCUGGUUCGAAUCCAGCCGCCCCUG
RNAcentral lists this transfer RNA (72 nucleotides) under Desulfatibacillum alkenivorans AK-01. It matches the Rfam family "tRNA". Rfam says of the family: Transfer RNA (tRNA) molecules are approximately 80 nucleotides in length. Their secondary structure includes four short double-helical elements and three loops (D, anti-codon, and T loops). Further hydrogen bonds mediate the characteristic L-shaped molecular structure. tRNAs have two regions of fundamental functional importance: the anti-codon, which is responsible for specific mRNA codon recognition, and the 3' end, to which the tRNAs corresponding amino acid is attached (by aminoacyl-tRNA synthetases). tRNAs cope with the degeneracy of the genetic code in two manners: having more than one tRNA (with a specific anti-codon) for a particular amino acid; and 'wobble' base-pairing, i.e. permitting non-standard base-pairing at the 3rd anti-codon position. The record is from Rfam by way of RNAcentral. Lineage: Bacteria; Pseudomonadati; Thermodesulfobacteriota; Desulfobacteria; Desulfobacterales; Desulfatibacillaceae.